RNAcentral lists this ribosomal RNA (422 nucleotides) under uncultured bacterium. RNAcentral's name for it is "bacterial SSU rRNA". It matches the Rfam family "Bacterial small subunit ribosomal RNA", at positions 355 to 774 of the family's 1533-position model. The record is from RNAcentral.
UGAGGAAUAUUGGUCAAUGGGGGCAACCCUGAACCAGCCAAGUCGCGUGAAGGAUGAAGGUCUUAUGGAUUGUAAACUUCUUUUACACGGGAAUAAAGUGGGGGACGUGUCCCCCUUUGCAUGUACCGUGUGAAUAAGGAUCGGCUAACUCCGUGCCAGCAGCCGCGGUAAUACGGAGGAUCCGAGCGUUAUCCGGAUUUAUUGGGGUUAAAGGGUGCGCAGGCGGGAUGUUAAGUCGGCGGUGAAAUUUUGCAGCUCAACUGUAAAAGUGCACUCGAUACUGUCCUGCUUGAGUGUGGAUGAAGUAGGCCUAAUUUGUGGUGGAGCGGUCAAAUGGUUAGAUCUCACGAGUGACUCCGAUUGCGUCGGCAGCUUACUAAGCCACAACUGACGCUCAUGCACGAAGGAGUGGGGAUCAAACA